RNAcentral lists this ribosomal RNA (465 nucleotides) under uncultured bacterium. RNAcentral's name for it is "partial 16S ribosomal RNA". It matches the Rfam family "Bacterial small subunit ribosomal RNA", at positions 28 to 507 of the family's 1533-position model. The record is from RNAcentral.
GACGAACGCUGGCGGCGUGCUUAACACAUGCAAGUCGAACGGAAAGGCCCCUUUGGGGGUACUCGAGUGGCGAACGGGUGAGUAACACGUGAGUAACCUGCCCUUGACUUCGGGAUAACUUCAGGAAACUGGGGCUAAUACCGGAUAGGAAUCCUUGCUGCAUGGUGGGGGUUGGAAAGCUUCGGCGGUUUUGGAUGGACUCGCGGCUUAUCAGCUUGUUGGUGGGGUAGUGGCUUACCAAGGCUUCGACGGGUAGCCGGCCUGAGAGGGCGACCGGCCACAUUGGGACUGAGAUACGGCCCAGACUCCUACGGGAGGCAGCAGUGGGGAAUAUUGCACAAUGGGCGGAGGCCUGAUGCAGCAACGCCGCGUGCGGGAUGACGGCCUUCGGGUUGUAAACCGCUUUCAGCAGGGGCGAAGCUUGUGGUGACGGUACCUGCAGAAGAAGCACCGGCUAACUACGUG